GGAUUCCUAGGAGGAACUGACAAGUGGUGCUCUAAAGCCCAACCAACUCCUUUUUUUAAAGAAGAAGCUCCAGUUUGUAUGAGGCCUGACUCCAAUUCCAGGAUGAAAACCAUGAAGUCCACUUGUGCAAACAUAAUACGGCAACUGCCCAGACUCCUGGACCCUACGCCUAGCAACGGCCAGUCAGGCUACACCGGCAGGGCCAAGGAAGCAGCUGGGGGUGGAGGUCUAGGGACAUUCUCUGGAACUUGUUACUGAACAACAACAACAAAAAAGGCACAUGCCACAAAGAUCAUUUCAAAUCAGCGCACCAGAUCCUGCUACUGCACUGACCGUGCUGGGGUAAGGCUGACCCAUCCUUCCUAGAAGGAGACACCGAGGAGACCGGGUCUGCACCACAAGAAGAUGAAAGGGUGACCCUUGAAAAGCAUGUCUGUGGAGUUUAUUUUAAGCAGUUCAAACUUUUCUGGUUUUAAAACAUAGAGGUCAUAUUAAAAAUUAAAAAG
This 506-nucleotide long non-coding RNA is filed under the name Mus spretus (western wild mouse). Its description in RNAcentral is "lncRNA (ENSMSPG00010011078.1)". The record is from RNAcentral. Lineage: Eukaryota; Metazoa; Chordata; Mammalia; Rodentia; Muridae.